UUAUUUCUUUCAUCACCUUCCCAGGGGGUCAGAACAUUACAUACACUGAAUUAGGAUUUGGUAGCAUGGCCUUUAAAUAGUUUAACUUGGGUCAAACGUUUCGGGUAGCCUUCCACAAGCUUCCCAGAAUAGAUUGGGGGAAUUCUGGCCCAUUCCUCCUGACAGAGCUGGUGUAACUGAGGCAGGUUUGUAGGCCUCCUGACAGAGCUGGUGUAACUGAGGCAGGUUUGUAGGCCUCCUGACAGAGCUGGUGUAACUGAGGCAGGUUUGUAGGCCUCCUGACAGAGCUGGUGUAACUGAGGCAGGUUUGUAGGCCUCCUGACAGAGCUGGUGUAACAGAGGCAGGUUUGUAGGCCUCCUGACAGAGCUGGUGUAACUGAGGCAGGUUUGUAGGCCUCCUGACAGAGCUGGUGUAACUGAGGCAGGUUUGUAGGCCUCCUGACAGAGCUGGUGUAACUGAGGCAGGUUUGUAGGCCUCCUGACAGAGCUGGUGUAACUGAGGCAGGUUUGUAGGC
This is a long non-coding RNA of Oncorhynchus keta (chum salmon), 515 nucleotides long. RefSeq lists it as uncharacterized. NCBI's taxonomy places the organism in Eukaryota, Metazoa, Chordata, Actinopteri, Salmoniformes, Salmonidae. The record is from RefSeq and is a predicted model, not a curated record. The transcript is spliced from 4 exons.